GGGCGCUUGGUCUAGGGGUAUGAUUUUCGCUUCGCACUUCCACAUGGAACGCGCUCUUGUGAAAGGUCGUGGGUUCAAUUCCCACAGUGUCCA
RNAcentral lists this transfer RNA (93 nucleotides) under Colletotrichum incanum. It matches the Rfam family "tRNA". From Rfam's summary of the family: Transfer RNA (tRNA) molecules are approximately 80 nucleotides in length. Their secondary structure includes four short double-helical elements and three loops (D, anti-codon, and T loops). The record is from Rfam by way of RNAcentral. Lineage: Eukaryota; Fungi; Ascomycota; Sordariomycetes; Glomerellales; Glomerellaceae.